Non-coding RNA from Odocoileus virginianus texanus, 211 nucleotides. The record is from RefSeq and is a predicted model, not a curated record. Lineage: Eukaryota; Metazoa; Chordata; Mammalia; Artiodactyla; Cervidae.
UGUUUGGCAUACACACAGUCAACUUCAGUGGCCUCUUUGCGUUAUGGAUAGUAACAGAUUUGCCGACUGGCUGGGAAGAAGCAUAUACUUUUGAAGGUGCAAGAUACUAUAUAAAAAAUGGAGAAAGCAGAAUGAAGAUACAGGAAUGGAGUACAGUUUCAUGAUGUGGUCCUUCCCUGGAUAUGUUUGAUUUGCAUCUUUUAUUUGGAGA